This 301-nucleotide ribosomal RNA is filed under the name uncultured bacterium. RNAcentral's name for it is "partial 16S ribosomal RNA". It matches the Rfam family "Bacterial small subunit ribosomal RNA", at positions 509 to 807 of the family's 1533-position model. The record is from RNAcentral.
CAGUAGCCGCGGUAAUACGUAGGGUGCAAGCGUUAAUCGGAAUUACUGGGCGUAAAGGGCGCGUAGGCGGUUUGGCAAGUUUGGUGUGAAAUCUUCGGGCUCAACUCGAAGUCUGCAUCGAAAACUGCCGGGCUUGAGUAUGGGAGAGGUGAGUGGAAUUUCCGGUGUAGCGGUGAAAUGCGUAGAUAUCGGAAGGAACACCUGUGGCGAAAGCGGCUCACUGGACCAUAACUGACGCUGAGGCGCGAAAGCUAGGGGAGCAAACAGGAUUAGAUACCCCCGUAGUCCCUGUCUCUUAUAC